GAUGAACGCUGGCGGUGUGCCUAAUACAUGCAAGUCGAGCGAACGGACGAGAAGCUUGCUUCUCUGAUGUUAGCGGCGGACGGGUGAGUAACACGUGGAUAACCUACCUAUAAGACUGGGAUAACUUCGGGAAACCGGAGCUAAUACCGGAUAAUAUUUUGAACCGCAUGGUUCAAAAGUAAAAGACGGUCUUGCUGUCACUUAUAGAUGGAUCCGCGCUGCACUAGCUAGUUGGUAAGGUAACGGCUUACCAAGGCAACGAUGCAUAGCCGACCUGAGAGGGUGAUCGGCCACACUGGAACUGAGACACGGUCCAGACUCCUACGGGAGGCAGCAGUAGGGAAUCUUCCGCAAUGGGCGAAAGCCUGACGGAGCAACGCCGCGUGAGUGAUGAAGGUCUUCGGAUCGUAAAACUCUGUUAUUAGGGAAGAACAUAUGUGUAAGUAACUGUGCACAUCUUGACGGUACCUAAUCAGAAAGCCACGGCUAACUACGUGCCAGCAGCCGCGGUAAUACGUAGGUGGCAAGCGUUAUCCGGAAUUAUUGGGCGUAAAGCGCGCGUAGGCGGUUUUUUAAGUCUGAUGUGAAAGCCCACGGCUCAACCGUGGAGGGUCAUUGGAAACUGGAAAACUUGAGUGCAGAAGAGGAAAGUGGAAUUCCAUGUGUAGCGGUGAAAUGCGCAGAGAUAUGGAGGAACACCAGUGGCGAAGGCGACUUUCUGGUCUGUAACUGACGCUGAUGUGCGAAAGCGUGGGGAUCAAACAGG
RNAcentral lists this ribosomal RNA (766 nucleotides) under Staphylococcus aureus. RNAcentral describes it as "bacterial SSU rRNA". It matches the Rfam family "Bacterial small subunit ribosomal RNA", at positions 28 to 776 of the family's 1533-position model. The record is from RNAcentral. Lineage: Bacteria; Bacillati; Bacillota; Bacilli; Caryophanales; Staphylococcaceae.